UACGAAGGGGGCUAGCGUUGUUCGGAAUUACUGGGCGUAAAGCGUAUGCAGGCGGAUCAUUAAGUCGGGGGUGAAGUCCCGAGGCUCAACCUCGGAACUGCCUUCGAUACUGAUGAUCUUGAGUCCGGGAGAGGUGAGUGGAACUGCGAGUGUAGAGGUGAAAUUCGUAGAUAUUCGCAAGAACACCAGUGGCGAAGGCGGCUCACUGGCCCGGUACUGACGCUGAGACGCGAAAGCGUGGGGAGCGAACAGG
This 253-nucleotide ribosomal RNA is filed under the name uncultured bacterium. RNAcentral describes it as "partial 16S ribosomal RNA". It matches the Rfam family "Bacterial small subunit ribosomal RNA", at positions 524 to 776 of the family's 1533-position model. The record is from RNAcentral.